AUGAUCCAUGCAGUAUACGGUAUUUGGCUUGUGAGAAACGAGGCGAGGGUGGAAAACAAAUUGCGCAUCCACAUGAAACAGGUUUCUGUUUUACGACACAUGCAGGAAUGGAAGCUAUCUCACCAGCCAAAGGUUCGUGAUGUCCAUCUAAAGCAGGUGCAGAAAUGGGCGGUGCCGGACCAGGGUUGGGUGAAAAUAAAUUUUAAUGGUGUGGUCUCGAGGACUGGAGGUAAAGGGGGGAGUGGUGUUGUAACACAUGACCAUUAUGGCGCUUUCAUUGCUGGUGCUAGCCAUUUCUUCCCGAGUAUUGGAAGCCCUAAGAUAUCUGAAGUUCUGGCGUGCAAAGAGCUGUUCAAUUAG
Molecule: ribosomal RNA, 360 nt
Filed under: Triticum aestivum (bread wheat)
Lineage: Eukaryota; Viridiplantae; Streptophyta; Magnoliopsida; Poales; Poaceae
Description: partial small subunit ribosomal RNA
Source: RNAcentral